CAAUGGGCGAAAGCCUGACGGAGCAAUACCGCGUGAGUCAGGGAAGAAAAAAAUGACGGUACCUGAGGAAUAAGCAUCGGCUAACUCCGUGCCAGCAGCCGCGGUAAUACGGAGGAUGCAAGCGUUAUCCGGAAUGAUUGGGCGUAAAGCGUCCGCAGGUGGCAAUGUAAGUCUGCUGUUAAAGAGUCUAGCUCAACUAGAUAAAGGCAGUGGAAACUACAUAGCUAGAGUGCGUUCGGGGUAGAGGGAAUUCCUGGUGUAGCGGUGAAAUGCGUAGAUAUCAGGAAGAACACCGGUGGCGAAGGCGCUCUACUAGGCCGCAACUGACACUGAGGGACGAAAGCUAGGGGAGCGAAUGGGAUUAGAUACCCCAGUAGUCCUAGCCGUAAACGAUGGAUACUAGGCGUGGCUUGUAUCGACCCGAGCCGUGCCGGAGCUAACGCGUUAAGUAUCCCGCCUGGGGAGUACGCACGCAAGUGUGAAACUCAAAGGAAUUGACGGGGGCCCGCACAAGCGGUGGAGUAUGUGGUUUAAUUCGAUGCAACGCGAAGAACCUUACCAAGGCUUGACAUGUCGCGAAUUUCGGUGAAAGCUGAAAGUGCCUUAGGGAGCGCGAACACAGGUGGUGCAUGGCUGUCGUCAGCUCGUGUCGUGAGAUGUUGGGUUAAGUCCCGCAACGAGCGCAACCCUCGUUUCUAGUUGCCAGCAAUAAGAUGGGAACUCUAGAGAGACUGCCGGUGACAAACCGGAGGAAGGUGGGGAUGACGUCAAGUCAGCAUGCCCCUUACGCCUUGGGCUACACACGUACUACAAUGCUACGGACAAAGGGCAGCUACACAGCGAUGUGAUGCAAAUCUCGUAAACCGUAGCUCAGUUCAGAUCGAAGGCUGCAACUCGCCUUCGUGAAGGAGGAAUCGCUAGUAAUUGCAGGUCAGCAUACUGCAGUGAAUUCGUUCCCGGGCCUUGUACACACCGCCCGUCACACCAUGGAAGUCGGUCACGCCCGAAGUCAUUACCCC
This 1019-nucleotide ribosomal RNA is filed under the name Anabaena sp. Sorg 4. RNAcentral describes it as "bacterial SSU rRNA". It matches the Rfam family "Bacterial small subunit ribosomal RNA", at positions 369 to 1436 of the family's 1533-position model. Lineage: Bacteria; Bacillati; Cyanobacteriota; Cyanophyceae; Nostocales; Nostocaceae. The record is from RNAcentral.